Molecule: long non-coding RNA, 959 nt
Organism: Salvia hispanica
Lineage: Eukaryota; Viridiplantae; Streptophyta; Magnoliopsida; Lamiales; Lamiaceae
Source: RefSeq, a predicted model, not a curated record
AACAUAAACUUUCUCUUUCCCUCAUCCAUCUCUUCGUCCCUCUCUCUGCUCCAUUUCCCCUCAUGCUCUCUCUUUGUUCAGCCAUGGCGCCAACACCAUGAUAGCGCCAGACGGCUCCUCCGGGAAGCAUGUAAAACACGCUACUACCCUCAACUCCUUACUCCCAUUACUUCCUCUUAAUUUUAGAACUUGUGCUUUAAACCCACAUCUACCCAACAUCCAAAAAUAGUUAUAAAUUGAAGUUGAAUAGGAAGAACAUCCAUUUUUAGAGAGGGAGAGCUCGGCCUCCAUGGAGAAAUCAGAAGCCGUGAGCUUCAUGGUUGCUUCUACACCUCGAUUCCUCAUCUUUUCGUUAAUUCAAUUGCGAAUUCUCCAAUAAUUCAAACUGCCCUGGUCUGCCGGGAAAUGACAUGGAGAAGGAGCAUGGAUAAUGUGAUUCGUAUGUCAAAGGUGUCUGGGAUUUUGAGAUUAGAGGAUCACACAAGCUCUUUUGUUGUACAGCUGCUCAGCUCUACUACUUAGACAGAGUUACACAAGACAAGUGUUUUGUUCCUCGAACAUUUUCAUUAAUGAAAGGAUGGAAAAGUGAGCAUCUUCAUGCUAGAGAAGAUAGAGAGACCAGUGCAGAAGUUUUUGGUUUAGGACGUAUAAAGAAGAGAUACAUUCGUAAUGAGGAGCAGCAGCAAGGGAAUGAAGAACAAAGUCUUGAUGUAGAUGACAGUGGAGUUGGGUCUCAGAACCUACUCCCAUCAGAUAUGGUGACAAAAGUAUUGCUACACGAUGAUUGCAUCAAUUUACAAUAACCAGAGGUUGCCGAUGUUACAACUGGCUCAUGAUUGGAUAGAAGCAAACAUGGAUAAAUUGCUUGAGUUAAACCACAAGUACAAGGAUUUGUUUAGUCGUAGAAACAAGAAGUGAACAAAAAGUGAUUUUAAUGUUUGAUGUUAACUUAUUUUUUA